AUUUUCCAAGCCUCUCUACUCGUAAUCUCAUCCACCCACUUACGCACUUUAGAUCUUUUUUCGAACAAUUUCUUCGUUGGAGUUCCCAAAAGGGACUUGACCAAAUGGCUGCAUCAAUAACACAUUGUUAAAACUCGAAAUCCUUGGGUGACAAGUAACCAAGACAAGCCCUAGAGAGAGGAAAGGUUCGGUUUUGUGUUCACCGGUUUGCAAUUUGACGGUAAUAGGCUCGUAAGAGAGUCUUUUCUCAUGGAGAACAGCGAGGACACGCCUUGUGUUGGUGGAGAAAGGAUCGCCAUGAACCUUGUAACCUGCAACUUUGAAUCAUAGAACAAAUUUCACUGAAAUCAAAAUUAUCUUAAUUUUUGUUUGUUUGUUAUAAACCUAUAUAUUAAUUAAUCUUACCGAGCUUUUUAACUUCU
This is a long non-coding RNA of Arabidopsis thaliana (thale cress), 422 nucleotides long. RefSeq annotates it as other RNA. The record is from RefSeq. Lineage: Eukaryota; Viridiplantae; Streptophyta; Magnoliopsida; Brassicales; Brassicaceae. The transcript is spliced from 3 exons.